RNAcentral lists this transfer RNA (73 nucleotides) under Desulfovibrio sp. OH1186_COT-070. It matches the Rfam family "tRNA". From Rfam's summary of the family: Transfer RNA (tRNA) molecules are approximately 80 nucleotides in length. Lineage: Bacteria; Pseudomonadati; Thermodesulfobacteriota; Desulfovibrionia; Desulfovibrionales; Desulfovibrionaceae. The record is from Rfam by way of RNAcentral.
GCCAGCUUAGCUCACUUGGUAGAGCAGCUGAUUCGUAAUCAGCAGGUAGCGAGUUCAAUUCUCGCAGCUGGCU